Molecule: ribosomal RNA, 466 nt
Filed under: uncultured bacterium
Lineage: Bacteria
Description: partial 16S ribosomal RNA
Rfam family: Bacterial small subunit ribosomal RNA
Source: RNAcentral
GACGAACGCUGGCGGCGUGCUUAACACAUGCAAGUCGAACGGAAAGGCCCUGCUUGCAGGGUACUCGAGUGGCGAACGGGUGAGUAACACGUGGGUGAUCUGCCCUGCACUUCGGGAUAAGCUUGGGAAACUGGGUCUAAUACCGGAUAGGAACCAUCUUUAGUGUGGUGGUUGGAAAGUUUUUUCGGUGUAGGAUGAGCUCGCGGCCUAUCAGCUUGUUGGUGGGGUAAUGGCCUACCAAGGCGGCGACGGGUAGCCGGCCUGAGAGGGUGUACGGCCACAUUGGGACUGAGAUACGGCCCAGACUCCUACGGGAGGCAGCAGUGGGGAAUAUUGCACAAUGGGCGCAAGCCUGAUGCAGCGACGCCGCGUGGGGGAUGAAGGCCUUCGGGUUGUAAACUCCUUUCGCUAGGGACGAAGCGUUGUUGUGACGGUACCUAGAUAAGAAGCACCGGCUAACUACGUG